UACGUAGGGACCAAGCGUUGUCCGGAAUCAUUGGGCGUAAAGAGCGUGUAGGCGGCUUGUUAAGUCUUGCGUGAAAUCUCGGGGCUCAACCCCGAGCGGUCGUGAGAAACUGGCAGGCUAGAGUGCGGGAGAGGAGAGUGGAAUUCCUGGUGUAGCGGUGAAAUGCGCAGAUAUCAGGAGGAACACCUGUGGCGAAAGCGGCUCACUGGACCAUAACUGACGCUGAUGCACGAAAGCUAGGGGAGCAAACAGG
This 253-nucleotide ribosomal RNA is filed under the name uncultured bacterium. RNAcentral describes it as "partial 16S ribosomal RNA". It matches the Rfam family "Bacterial small subunit ribosomal RNA", at positions 524 to 776 of the family's 1533-position model. The record is from RNAcentral.